ACCAUGAAGAGUUUGAUCCUGGCUCAGGAUAAACGCUAGCGGCAGGCCUAACACAUGCAAGUCGAGGGGCAUCGGGGUGUAGCAAUACACCG
Molecule: ribosomal RNA, 92 nt
Filed under: Prevotellaceae bacterium
Lineage: Bacteria; Pseudomonadati; Bacteroidota; Bacteroidia; Bacteroidales; Prevotellaceae
Description: partial 16S ribosomal RNA
Rfam family: Bacterial small subunit ribosomal RNA
Source: RNAcentral